UUACGUAAUAAAGCUUGAGAAGUCGAUGUUUAACCACGAUAAUGUGGGCAUAGUCGUAAUUCCGGCAAACCGGAAGCGUUUCGGACGGCGGUUCGAUUCCGCCCACCUCCACCACUAAAAGUAUCAUUUUUACGAUAUGGGGGUGCACUGGCUUCGACGGGGCGAAAGAAGGCUAGCAGGCGACUCGUCAGGCGAUCGACGUUAAUGAAGCAAAUCUCUAAACGCCAACGAUGAGCGUUUUGCACUGGCCGCUUAAGGUCUAUGCCGAGGCCGCUUUAGCCUUGUAACCCAAGAAAAGCCGGCGGGGACUCCAUGAAAAUGGAGUCCCCGUCGUCA
RNAcentral lists this transfer-messenger RNA (336 nucleotides) under Rhodocyclaceae bacterium. It matches the Rfam family "Betaproteobacteria transfer-messenger RNA". Rfam says of the family: Bacterial tmRNA, also known as 10Sa RNA or SsrA, is named for its dual tRNA and mRNA-like properties. Lineage: Bacteria; Pseudomonadati; Pseudomonadota; Betaproteobacteria; Rhodocyclales; Rhodocyclaceae. The record is from RNAcentral.